AGUGAACGCUGGCGGUAGGCCUAACACAUGCAAGUCGAACGGCAGCACAGUAAGAGCUUGCUCUUACGGGUGGCGAGUGGCGGACGGGUGAGGAAUACAUCGGAAUCUACUUUUUCGUGGGGGAUAACGUAGGGAAACUUACGCUAAUACCCAAACGGACCUCCGGUUAAAAGCAGGGAACUUUCGACCCUUCGCGGUUUGAUGGGCCCGAUGUCGGAUUAGCUAGUUGGCGGGGUAAAGGCCCACCAAGGCGACGAUCCGUAGCUGGUCUGAGAGGAUGAUCAGCCACACUGGAACUGAGACACGGUCCAGACUCCUACGGGAGGCAGCAGUGGGGAAUAUUGGACAAUGGGCGCAAGCCUGAUCCAGCCAUACCGCGUGGGUGAAGAAGGCCUUCGGGUUGUAAAGCCCUUUUGUUGGGAAAGAAAAGCAGCAGGUUAAUACCCCGCUGUUCUGACGGUACCCAAAGAAUAAGCACCGGCUAACUUCGUG
This 492-nucleotide ribosomal RNA is filed under the name uncultured bacterium. RNAcentral's name for it is "partial 16S ribosomal RNA". It matches the Rfam family "Bacterial small subunit ribosomal RNA", at positions 29 to 507 of the family's 1533-position model. The record is from RNAcentral.